CGGGACGUAGCGCAGUUUGGCUAGCGCACCUGCUUUGGGAGCAGGGGGUCGCCGGUUCGAAUCCGGCCGUCCCGA
This 75-nucleotide transfer RNA is filed under the name Candidatus Omnitrophota bacterium. RNAcentral's name for it is "tRNA-Pro". It matches the Rfam family "tRNA". Rfam says of the family: Transfer RNA (tRNA) molecules are approximately 80 nucleotides in length. Their secondary structure includes four short double-helical elements and three loops (D, anti-codon, and T loops). The record is from RNAcentral. RNAcentral also lists the same sequence under 1 other name. Lineage: Bacteria; Pseudomonadati; Candidatus Omnitrophota.